UUCCGGUUGAUCCUGCCGGACCCGACUGCUAUCAGAGUGGGACUAAGCCAUGCGAGUCAACGCCGUAAGGCGUGGCAUACGGCUCAGUAACACGUAGUCAACAUGCCCAAAGGAUGUGGAUAACCUCGGGAAACUGAGGAUAAACCGCGAUAGGCCAAGGUUUCUGGAAUGAGCCAUGGCCGAAAUCUAUAUGGCCUUUGGAUUGGACUGCGGCCGAUCAGGCUGUUGGUGAGGUAAUGGCCCACCAAACCUGUAACCGGUACGGGCUUUGAGAGAAGGAGCCCGGAGAUGGGCACUGAGACAAGGGCCCAGGCCCUAUGGGGCGCAGCAGGCGCGAAACCUCUGCAAUAGGCGAAAGCUUGAC
This 364-nucleotide ribosomal RNA is filed under the name uncultured archaeon. RNAcentral's name for it is "bacterial SSU rRNA". It matches the Rfam family "Archaeal small subunit ribosomal RNA", at positions 1 to 371 of the family's 1478-position model. The record is from RNAcentral.